Molecule: ribosomal RNA, 497 nt
Filed under: uncultured bacterium
Lineage: Bacteria
Description: partial 16S ribosomal RNA
Rfam family: Bacterial small subunit ribosomal RNA
Source: RNAcentral
GAUGAACGCUGGCGGCGUGCCUAAUACAUGCAAGUCGAGCGAACGUACGAGAAGCUUGCUUUUCUGAUGUUAGCGGCGGACGGGUGAGUAACACGUGGAUAACCUACCUAUAAGACUGGGAUAACUUCGGGAAACCGGAGCUAAUACCUGAUAAUAUUUUGAACCGCAUGGUUCAAAAGUGAAAGACGGUCUUGCUGUCACUUAUAGAUGGAUCCGCGCUGCAUUAGCUAGUUGGUAAGGUAACGGCUUACCAAGGCAACGACGCAUAGCCGACCUGAGAGGGUGAUCGGCCACACUGGAACUGAGACACGGUCCAGACUCCUACGGGAGGCAGCAGUAGGGAAUCUUCCGCAAUGGGCGAAAGCCUGACGGAGCAACGCCGCGUGAGUGAUGAAGGUCUUCGGAUCGUAAAACUCUGUUAUUAGGGAAGAACAUAUGUGUAAGUAACUGUGCACAUCUUGACGGUACCUAAUCAGAAAGCCACGGCUAACUACGUG